Molecule: ribosomal RNA, 243 nt
Filed under: uncultured bacterium
Lineage: Bacteria
Description: partial 16S ribosomal RNA
Rfam family: Bacterial small subunit ribosomal RNA
Source: RNAcentral
UGGCGGCCGGCGCACGGGUGAGUAACACGUAUCCAACCUGCCGAUGACUCGGGGAUAGCCUUUCGAAAGAAAGAUUAAUACCCGAUGGCAUAGUUCUUCUGCAUGGUGGAACUAUUAAAGAAUUUCGGUCAUCGAUGGGGAUGCGUUCCAUUAGGUUGUUGGCGGGUAACGGCCCACCAAGCCUUCGAUGGAUAGGGGUUCUGAGAGGAAGGUCCCCCACAUUGGAACUGAGACACGGUCCAA